RNAcentral lists this ribosomal RNA (197 nucleotides) under synthetic construct. RNAcentral's name for it is "partial 16S ribosomal RNA". It matches the Rfam family "Bacterial small subunit ribosomal RNA", at positions 338 to 524 of the family's 1533-position model. The record is from RNAcentral.
CCUACGGGAGGCAGCAGUGGGGAAUAUUGGACAAUGAGCGAAAGCUUGAUCCAGCUAUGUCGCGUGUGUGAAGAAGGCCUUAGGGUUGUAAAACACUUUCAACAAAGUAAGAAGAAAAAAUGUAAUAAAAAAAUAUUUUUUUUGACGUUAUUUGUAAAAGAAGCACCGGCUAACUUCGUGCCAGCAGCCGCGGUAAU